GCAAACUUGGUCAUUUAGAGGAAGUAAAAGUCGUAACAAGGUUUCCGUAGGUGAACCUGCGGAAGGAUCAUUAACAAAUCAAAAUGAAUGUUAGGGGAGGUAUUUGUAUGUAUAUGUACAAAAUAACUCUUUUAAUAUAUACAUUAACCCGGCCGCAAGGCUAGGUCAAGUUUCUUGUAUAUUUUCUCUUCCUUCUUUAGAUUUUGACAACACAAAAGGGAGCUGUGAAAGGUUUCCGUUUAAAAAGUCUGGAGAAAAAAAAGGGGGGGAGUAUAUAGGAAAUAUAUACACGCUUGUAUUGUUUUUGACUGUAAGAUUGAUAUAAAAGAAAUAAUAACUUUUAACAAUGGAUCUCUUGGCUCUUGCAUCAAUGAAGAACGCAGC
This 384-nucleotide unclassified non-coding RNA is filed under the name uncultured fungus. Its description in RNAcentral is "partial contains small subunit ribosomal RNA, internal transcribed spacer 1, and 5.8S ribosomal RNA". The stretch from base 1 to 73 matches the Rfam family "Eukaryotic small subunit ribosomal RNA", at positions 1759 to 1831 of the family's 1831-position model. The record is from RNAcentral. Lineage: Eukaryota; Fungi.